GGCUCCGCCUCCGCCUCUAACCCCUCCCCGCCGGGCCCGGACCACGCUAGCCGCUGCCUAGCCCGGGCUCCCGGCAGGAGGGCGCCCGGGCCCAGUACCCGAGUGCCCCGGUCUCUAGAGGGCUACGGAGCGCGUCUGCCUCCAGGACCGGGUAUUUGACUGAGCAGCCUGCGAAGUAGAGCGCGGAAGGUCCGCAGUGGGUGCGGCGCGGCGCAGUCGGGGCUAGCCCACUUGCUCAGCGUAGCUUUUCUAGAGCGUCGGGGGUCUCGAGGGGCCGGGGUUGGACAGCAGCUGCGCGACUCCGAGGGACUCUUCUCUGCAGAUCCAGGCCCGCACCUAUCUGCAGAUGUUCUUCCAUAGAGCAAUUCUCUGCACUUCUUAGAAACAACUGUUGCUUAUACAACUGUUGCUUAUAGCAGAAGACAGCCUUUAUCUCUUCCAGUGAUCCACAGACUUGAUGAAAUCAGUUCGGGCCUCAGAGAGAAGAUGAAUUGUAAGCAAAAUUCAAAAAUCACGAUUCUGGGGAAAAAGACCCCCAAAUCCAGAGCCCUGUAGUACCAGCCCUGCUAGUUCAACUGAAGGCUGCAGCAUGCCCUGAUCUAAACGGGAAAACACAACAAGGAAAAUAUCAGAAGCACAAGCCAGAGCUGUUGUCCUCCUUACUCAUCCACUCAUCCAUCAAGAUAAGUCAGAGAUCAAAAGGAAUUCCCUCUCCAUCCUCCAAGAAAGACACUUGAGGAGACAAUUAGUAACAUGGUGAGAGGAGCUGGAUCUCAAGUCCCCAAAGCACAAAGUAAGAAGCAGCCAGCUCUGCCAAGAGACAGGAAAAAACCCUGACUGGACCUUCAGAGACAGAUCAGGAGGAUCAAGGAAACUCCAAUCGAGCACAUCACAUGGGUAAAGUCUUCAGACUCUAUGCCUGGUCUGCAGGACAGUGGGCUAGCAAUUCAUAACGGUUGGAGCCUGGGUCAGGAGGGAGAGGAGCCCGUGUGGCUUGGGGAGGUGGCUGUCAAACAACCUGCUGAGGGACUUGAGCUUCAUUCUGGAAGACACAGGAAGAUGUGGCAGGGUUUUGAGAAGGGGUGUGGCUUUGCAAAGACUUCUUUGGCAGGAAGGAAAGUGUGCUAGGUUUCCACAGCAGCCAGCUUAUCAACGUUCCUCCAGCCCUGCUGAAUUCAGAAUCUCAGGACAUCUGUUCCUCCCGCCACCUUCCUGAUGGCCUACUCGUUUUAUUUUGAAGCACAUACAGUAUCUCUUCGUUUCCAGCAUCGUCCCCAUUAUCCACUACUUCCUCCCAACCGCGCUUUCUAAACUGCUGAGGAUGGAAGAGAAAGCAGACUGGACUUGCAGUAUACAUUUCACACUCUCAUCCAACAAGCAACUUAGCCGCUGACACACUGCCAGCUGGUCCCAUCAAGUCAGGUGGCAUGGGUCACCCAACAAGCUGCCUGUUGGAAUAGCUGGCUGUUACAUAGCCUGUUAAGAACCAGGCGAACAAGACCACCAAAAUGUGGCAGCUGCUGUCCAGACAAGACACCUUCAGGCAGAGCUGGGUGCAGCCCGGUGACUCGUGCAGACAACAUCUGGGUUUUAGUUGGAAGACGGCCUCUGCAUUGGAUGAAGCUCUUCCCACAGACUGCAGAUGCCCUGUGGAUGGCUACCUUCCUCUCUGUGAUGGACUGCACCCUUGAGCCAGCCCAAAGAAACACUUCUUUCCCUGAGUCACAUUCACCGGGCAUUUUUUCACAGCAAAGAGGAAAGUGACUAACACAAGUUGUUACCCCAUUUCUGCUAGAUCUGGGCUCCUUUCAUUAGUCAACAUGACAUGGAUUGAACACCCACUCUGCCCUACUACUGAUCUACAAUGAAGGUGCCGGAACAAGGAAGUUAUGGGAACAAGACAGAGUUGGUUCAAAGAGAUGAUCGACAACAGCGCAGACAUGAAUGAGCAGGAUAAUGCAUGAUGACAGCCCAGUGAAGACCAUAAAGCAGAGGAUCCGGGGGCCAAGGAGAAUAUGUCUGCCCUGUGGUCAGGGAGGUCAACUUUUGGGGAAGUAUUUAACAUUGUCCCUGAGGCCUGUGCUUUGAAUCUUCUUGGCCCAUUUCUUAAUAUCAUGGCUCUCAUGACUUGAUCUUAGUGCCUUUCCUCCGCCAUUUCAGCUGUAGGACCCCAGGAAGGCUUCUCAGAGCCUCCCACAGCAAGCCAUAUGCUAUCCUACUACUUAUAAACCCACACUCUAUAAUGGUCCUUCACUCUGGCACCUCAUUAUAGAAAGUAGGAUGAAGUUGGCACCGAGAAUGAUUCCUAUUUGCUUCAGCCACAGUAAUCUCUUCAUUUUCUAAGACUUCAGUUAUGUGUGUUCAAUCAUCAUGGGAAAAUAUUGAAAAGAAAAUUAUUAGAAAUAAGCAGUUUAUUAAUUUAAGUGACUUUUAUUAUAGCAUUUUGUUAUAUGGCUCUACUUUGUUAUUAGUUGUUGGUAAUCAUUUACUAUGCUUUAUAAAUUAUUUGUCAAUAUUAAUAUUUGUUUAUAGGAGAAAAGAGUGCAUAUAGGAUUUGAUGCUAUCUGGGUUUCAAGCAUUCACUGGGGGUCUGGGAAUGGAUCCUCUGAGAUAAAAGGGGCAUGUCUCUUUUAAUACGCAUAAGGUUUACACUGCAGUACUGCUAAGUUCACUUUACUAUUUGGGACUCUGCUGAAAUUAUCUCUUUGCAGAGGAAGAGUAUCUCACCACCCACAUCAGCUUCCUCCUUCACCCAGAACAGAUUCCCAGAAAAUAAAAGUUCCUAAGACUGUUCUAGAAAGUUCAGAGACACAGAUGAGAACUUUGCUCUUUAAUCAUGCUUCAGGAAUGCAGGUGUUAUCUGUACACACUAUUAUCAAUUGUCUUUGAGAUCGCUGGCUAGAGUAAGCUUGGUCAUGAUUUCUAAUCAUUAGAGAUAGGUUGGGAGUUUUCAAUUCAUUUAUUCUCUUUAUUGUAGCUAAUUGAAGAAUACGUUGCCUUUGGAUUCAAAUAGCCAUUACUGGUUCUCUUUGCCAAGCCCUAUGCAAGACAUAUCUCCUUGGGAUUUUGUGAUGGCUUAGUGCUCUGUGUCAGGGAUAGAGAGGUGAGGCUCAGGUGAAUUAAGGGCUAGCUCAAAGUCAAAUGUAGGGGUAGAAACACGUGCAAGUCUUCUGACCCCAGUACAUGGACUUGCAGGCUGGAGCUCUCCUACCUUUCUUUUUACACACAGUAUUGACUCACAUCUUGAGGAAACUGAGGUUAAAUGUAAUGCGCAAGCAUUCAUCUUUGUAAAGAUUUGUUUCAUUGGGACCACUGGUUACAAGUGAAAGCUACAGUGGAUGUGUCCAUGACAUAGAUUAAACACGAUUACAGAGGAGGUGGUGUAUCCCUCACAUCUUGACUUCUCUUACGUUUAAUAUAACCCUGAAGAGGACACAGAAGUUCAAAUAGAGCAUAUGGCAUUCAUAAGGUUACAUACAUGUAAUCAUACAUGAUACUUUUAUUGUAAAUAAAAAACACUAUUUAUAAUGGCAACAAGUGCAUUAUACAGAUAAAACAUAGGACUGCAGCUUCAUUAUUUAUUAAAGGAAAGAAAAAAAAUCUACACAAGUGAUCGGGGAAACAUAGUCUUACUCUGGUGGCAUUUGUCCCUAGAUUGUCCCUAGAUUGCUUUACAGAUUUCAUCACAAUUCAAAUCAAAAUCAUAGCAGGAAUUUGUGGGAUUGUGAUAAACUCAUUUUGAGUUUUCUAUGAAAGUAAUAAAGGCUUUUGAGUAAUCAACACUGAAAAAGAAAACACAGGAAUGGGAGCACUCGACUAGUAAAUGAGACAUUGUUGAGAAGGUGCAGAACAAACAAAUAAACCGAUGGAGAAUCCCUAAAGCAAGGUCACUUGUGCUGCAGUGCACUGACAGAACUCAACACAGCAGCUGUUCUUCAUCGGAGAGGCUGCGACCAUGUAAAAUCAGGAAAUCUUCAAGAUCAGGCCUGUUGACCACUGAUGCUCCCUUACAGGGGAAAAGGUGGAGAGAACAUGGGGAAGCUUAUUACACCUUCUCUUGAGACUCCAGCUUUUUCUUCCUGAACCUCCCAGCCAGUUGUAUAUAAUUCUGUUCCACCUGCACAUGGUCUCAUAGUCUUGGGAGUAUACAGUCUGUGGCAGGCUAGUGGAAGGGAGUGACUCCAUAUUUGCAGUGGUGGGGAAGUCACCCAUCAUUGACAUUGGGAGUGGUUGUGUGGCUACUUUGGGGUCAUUAAUAUACCUAUAAAUAAUUCUUCACCCAUGCUCUGUAAGUAAAAAUAAAGUUAUUAACUCAC
This 4316-nucleotide small RNA is filed under the name Rattus norvegicus (Norway rat). RNAcentral describes it as "uncharacterized LOC103691652". Lineage: Eukaryota; Metazoa; Chordata; Mammalia; Rodentia; Muridae. The record is from RNAcentral.